This 450-nucleotide ribosomal RNA is filed under the name uncultured bacterium. RNAcentral's name for it is "partial 16S ribosomal RNA". It matches the Rfam family "Bacterial small subunit ribosomal RNA", at positions 354 to 796 of the family's 1533-position model. The record is from RNAcentral.
GUGGGGAAUUUUGGACAAUGGGCGCAAGCCUGAUCCAGCAAUGCCGCGUGCAGGAAGAAGGCCUUCGGGUUGUAAACUGCUUUUGUACGGAACGAAACGGUCCUGGUUAAUACCUGGGGCUAAUGACGGUACCGUAAGAAUAAGCACCGGCUAACUACGUGCCAGCAGCCGCGGUAAUACGUAGGGUGCGAGCGUUAAUCGGAAUUACUGGGCGUAAAGCGUGCGCAGGCGGUGCUGUAAGACAGGCGUGAAAUCCCCGGGCGCAACCUGGGAAUUGCGCUUGUGACUGCAGUGCUGGAGUACGGCAGAGGGGGAUGGAAUUCCGCGUGUAGCAGUGAAAUGCGUAGAUAUGCGGAGGAACACCGAUGGCGAAGGCAGUCCCCUGGGCCUGUACUGACGCUCAUGCACGAAAGCGUGGGGAGCAAACAGGAUUAGAAACCCGGGUAGUCC